ACCUGGGUGGCUUAGUUGGUUAAGCUUCUGCCUUUGGUUCAGGUCAUAAUCUUAGGGUCUUGGGAUCGAGCCCCACCUCAGGCU
Molecule: transfer RNA, 84 nt
Filed under: Mustela putorius furo (domestic ferret)
Lineage: Eukaryota; Metazoa; Chordata; Mammalia; Carnivora; Mustelidae
Rfam family: tRNA
About the family: Transfer RNA (tRNA) molecules are approximately 80 nucleotides in length.
Source: Rfam by way of RNAcentral